This 516-nucleotide ribosomal RNA is filed under the name uncultured Streptomyces sp. RNAcentral's name for it is "bacterial SSU rRNA". It matches the Rfam family "Bacterial small subunit ribosomal RNA", at positions 144 to 674 of the family's 1533-position model. Lineage: Bacteria; Bacillati; Actinomycetota; Actinomycetes; Kitasatosporales; Streptomycetaceae. The record is from RNAcentral.
CAAGCCCUGGAAACGGGGUCUAAUACCGGAUAUGACUGUCCAUCGCAUGGUGGAUGGUGUAAAGCUCCGGCGGUGCAGGAUGAGCCCGCGGCCUAUCAGCUUGUUGGUGAGGUAGUGGCUCACCAAGGCGACGACGGGUAGCCGGCCUGAGAGGGCGACCGGCCACACUGGGACUGAGACACGGCCCAGACUCCUACGGGAGGCAGCAGUGGGGAAUAUUGCACAAUGGGCGAAAGCCUGAUGCAGCGACGCCGCGUGAGGGAUGACGGCCUUCGGGUUGUAAACCUCUUUCAGCAGGGAAGAAGCGAAAGUGACGGUACCUGCAGAAGAAGCGCCGGCUAACUACGUGCCAGCAGCCGCGGUAAUACGUAGGGCGCAAGCGUUGCCCGGAAUUAUUGGGCGUAAAGAGCUCGUAGGCGGCUUGUCACGUCGGUUGUGAAAGCCCGGGGCUUAACCCCGGGUCUGCAGUCGAUACGGGCAGGCUAGAGUUCGGUAGGGGAGAUCGGAAUUCCUGGU